GAAGCAAUUCCAAACUUUACGGAACAAAAUCUCAGAAUUAUUGGGUGCUGGUGGAUUGGCUAAUAUUUCUCAGUCUCUCUUUGUCAUCAGCGUUGGAAGCAACGACAUCUUUGAAUUAUUCGCUGCUAAUAACCUGACUAAAAGAACCGAGCAAGACUACUUGAGCAUACUCAUCUCCUCUUACGAAACUCAUUUAAGGAACUUAUUUAUGCUCGGAGCAAGGAAGUUUGGGAUUAUCAGCGUCUCACAAAUUGGGUGCUGCCCUGCCCAGCGAAAGCUCAGUGAAAGAGGCGGGUGUUUGGAGGCCAUGAAUGCUUAUGCACACUUGUUCUAUACGUCACUCCAAGUCCUCUUGCAGAAGUUGAGCUUACAAUGCAGAGGGAUGAUCUACGCACUUGGAGAUACAUAUAAAAUGACCCAAGUUAUUAUGGAAAAUCCUCUUCCAUUUGGGUUGGUGGAGGUGAAUAAGGCUUGUUGUGGUAAAGGGAAAUUGAAUGCAGAGUUUCCAUGUGAACCAGAUUCGGAUUUGUGUGAAAAUCGCC
Long non-coding RNA from Rosa rugosa (rugosa rose), 542 nucleotides. RefSeq lists it as uncharacterized. The record is from RefSeq and is a predicted model, not a curated record. The transcript has 3 exons. Lineage: Eukaryota; Viridiplantae; Streptophyta; Magnoliopsida; Rosales; Rosaceae.